GACGAACGCUGGCGGCGUGCCUAAUACAUGCAAGUAGAACGCACAGUUUAUACCGUAGCUUGCUACACCAUAGGCUGUGAGUUGCGAACGGGUGAGUAACGCGUAGGUAACCUGCCUGGUAGCGGGGGAUAACUAUUGGAAACGAUAGCUAAUACCGCAUAAUAUUGAUUAUUGCAUGAUAAUUGAUUGAAAGAUGCUAUUGCAUCACUACCAGAUGGACCUGCGUUGUAUUAGCUAGUAGGUGAGGUAACGGCUCACCUAGGCGACGAUACAUAGCCGACCUGAGAGGGUGAUCGGCCACACUGGGACUGAGACACGGCCCAGACUCCUACGGGAGGCAGCAGUAGGGAAUCUUCGGCAAUGGACGAAAGUCUGACCGAGCAACGCCGCGUGAGUGAAGAAGGUUUUCGGAUCGUAAAGCUCUGUUGUAAGAGAAGAACGGGUGUGAGAGUGGAAAGUUCACACUGUGACGGUAUCUUACCAGAAAGGGACGGCUAACUACGUG
RNAcentral lists this ribosomal RNA (505 nucleotides) under uncultured bacterium. RNAcentral's name for it is "partial 16S ribosomal RNA". It matches the Rfam family "Bacterial small subunit ribosomal RNA", at positions 28 to 507 of the family's 1533-position model. The record is from RNAcentral.